This 102-nucleotide Y RNA is filed under the name Saimiri boliviensis boliviensis (Bolivian squirrel monkey). RNAcentral describes it as "Y RNA (ENSSBOG00000006639.1)". It matches the Rfam family "Y RNA". Rfam says of the family: Y RNAs are components of the Ro ribonucleoprotein particle (Ro RNP), in association with Ro60 and La proteins. The Y RNAs and Ro60 and La proteins are well conserved, but the function of the Ro RNP is not known. The record is from Rfam by way of RNAcentral. Lineage: Eukaryota; Metazoa; Chordata; Mammalia; Primates; Cebidae.
GGCUGGUUCAAGUGCAGUAGUGUUUACAACUAAUUGCUCACAACCAGUUACUGAUUUCUUUGUCCCUUCUCCACUCCCACUGCUUCAUCUGACGAGCCUUAA